UACGUAGGGUGCAAGCGUUGUCCGGAAUUAUUGGGCGUAAAGAGCUCGUAGGCGGUCUGUCGCGUCUGCUGUGAAACUCAGGGCUUAACCCUGAGCUUGCAGUGGGUACGGGCAGACUAGAGUGCGGUAGGGGAGACUGGAAUUCCUGGUGUAGCGGUGAAAUGCGCAGAUAUCAGGAGGAACACCGGUGGCGAAGGCGGGUCUCUGGGCCGUAACUGACGCUGAGGAGCGAAAGCAUGGGGAGCGAACAGG
Molecule: ribosomal RNA, 252 nt
Filed under: uncultured bacterium
Lineage: Bacteria
Description: partial 16S ribosomal RNA
Rfam family: Bacterial small subunit ribosomal RNA
Source: RNAcentral